GAAGAUUUAGUUAAAUUAAUAACAUUAGACUGUCAAACUAAAAUUAUCAGUAUAUUUGAUACUCUUCU
Molecule: transfer RNA, 68 nt
Filed under: Rhabdoblatta nigrovittata
Lineage: Eukaryota; Metazoa; Arthropoda; Insecta; Blattodea; Blaberidae
Description: tRNA-Asp
Rfam family: tRNA
About the family: Transfer RNA (tRNA) molecules are approximately 80 nucleotides in length. Their secondary structure includes four short double-helical elements and three loops (D, anti-codon, and T loops).
Source: RNAcentral